Molecule: ribosomal RNA, 136 nt
Filed under: uncultured eukaryote
Lineage: Eukaryota
Description: partial 18S ribosomal RNA
Rfam family: Eukaryotic small subunit ribosomal RNA
Source: RNAcentral
UGGUGGAGUGAUUUGUCUGGUUAAUUCCGUUAACGAACGAGACCUUAGCCUGCUAACUAGUCGAUUCAAUCCCGAUUGGCUUCGACUUCUUAGAGGGACUUUGUGAUCAAACACAAGGAAGUUUGAGGCAAUAACA